GUGGGGAAUAUUGGGCAAUGGGGGCAACCCUGACCCAGCGACGCCGCGUGAGGGAAGACGGCCUUCGGGUUGUAAACCUCUUUUGUACGGGAAGAAGGAAGUGACGGUACUGUACGAAUAAGUCCCGGCUAACUACGUGCCAGCAGCCGCGGUAAUACGUAGGGGACGAGCGUUGUCCGGAAUUACUGGGCGUAAAGGGCGCGCAGGCUGUGCUGCAAGUCAGCUGUGAAAUGUCUGGGCUUAACCCGGGCAUGCGGUUGAGACUGCAGUGCUGGAGUGCUGUAGAGGCAAGUGGAAUUCCCAGUGUAGCGGUGAAAUGCGUAGAUAUUGGGAAGAACACCGGUGGCGAAGGCGGCCACCUGGACAGGUACUGACGCUGAGGCGCGAAAGCGUGGGGAGCAAACAGGAUUAGAAACCCCUGUAGUCC
This 427-nucleotide ribosomal RNA is filed under the name uncultured bacterium. RNAcentral's name for it is "partial 16S ribosomal RNA". It matches the Rfam family "Bacterial small subunit ribosomal RNA", at positions 354 to 796 of the family's 1533-position model. The record is from RNAcentral.